Molecule: transfer RNA, 76 nt
Filed under: Desulfovibrio sp.
Lineage: Bacteria; Pseudomonadati; Thermodesulfobacteriota; Desulfovibrionia; Desulfovibrionales; Desulfovibrionaceae
Also listed under: 4 other names
Description: tRNA-Ile
Rfam family: tRNA
About the family: Transfer RNA (tRNA) molecules are approximately 80 nucleotides in length. Their secondary structure includes four short double-helical elements and three loops (D, anti-codon, and T loops).
Source: RNAcentral
GGGCCAGUAGCUCAGUUGGCAGAGCCACCGGCUCAUAACCGGUCGGUCCCAGGUUCGAAUCCUGGCUGGCCUACCA